CCCGCUGAACUUAAGCAUAUCAAUAAGCGGAGGAAAAGAAACUAACAAGGAUUCCCCUAGUAACUGCGAGUGAAGCGGGAAAAGCUCAAAUUUAAAAUCUGGCAGUCUCUGGCUGUCCGAGUUGUAAUCUAGAGAAGCAUUAUCCGCGCUGGACCGUGUACAAGUCUCCUGGAAUGGAGCGUCAUAGAGGGUGAGAAUCCCGUCUUUGACACGGACUGCCAGGGCUUUGUGAUGUGCUCUCAAAGAGUCGAGUUGUUUGGGAAUGCAGCUCAAAAUGGGUGGUAAAUUCCAUCUAAAGCUAAAUACAGAGGAGAGACCGAUAGCGAACAAGUACCGUGAGGGAAAGAUGAAAAGAACUUUGGAAAGAGAGUUAAACAGUACGUGAAAUUGCUGAAAGGGAAACGCUUGAAGUCAGUCGCGUUUGGCGGGACUCAGCCUUGCUUUUGCUUGGUGUACUUCCUGUCAGAUGGGUCAACAUCAGUUUUGACCGGUGGAUAAGGGCUUGGAGAAUGUGGCAUCUUCGGGUGUGUUAUAGCUUCAGGUCGUAUACAUCGGUUGGGACUGAGGAACUCAGCACGCCGAAAGGCCGGGUACUUGUACCACGUUCGUGCUUAGGAUGUUGGCAUAAUGGCUUUAAUCGACCCGUCUUGAAACACGG
RNAcentral lists this ribosomal RNA (658 nucleotides) under uncultured fungus. RNAcentral describes it as "eukaryotic LSU rRNA". It matches the Rfam family "Eukaryotic large subunit ribosomal RNA", at positions 24 to 664 of the family's 3401-position model. The record is from RNAcentral. Lineage: Eukaryota; Fungi.